Molecule: ribosomal RNA, 579 nt
Filed under: uncultured archaeon
Lineage: Archaea
Description: bacterial SSU rRNA
Rfam family: Archaeal small subunit ribosomal RNA
Source: RNAcentral
UUCCGGUUGAUCCUGCCGGACCUGACUGCUAUCGGAUUGAUACUAAGCCAUGCGAGUCAUUGUAGCAAUACAAGGCAUACGGCUCAGUAACGCGUAGUCAACCUACCUUAUGGACGGGGAUAACCUCGGGAAACUGAGAAUAAUACCCGAUAGAACAUAAUUCCUGGAAUGGUUUAUGUUUCAAAUAAUUUAUUGCCGUAGGAUGGGACUGCGGCCUAUCAGUUUGUUGGUGAGGUAAUGGCCCACCAAGACUAUUACAGGUACGGGCUCUGAGAGGAGUGGCCCGGAGAUGGGUACUGAGACACGGACCCAGGCCCUAUGGGGCGCAGCAGGCGAGAAAACUUUGCAAUGUGCGAAAGCACGACAAGGUUAAUCCGAGUGGUUUCUGCUAAAGGAACCUUUUGACAGUCAUAGAACCACUGUUGAAUAAGGGGUGGGCAAGUUCUGGUGUCAGCCGCCGCGGUAAAAACCAGCACCUCAAGUGGUCAGGAUGAUUAUUGGGCCUAAAGCAUCCGUAGCCUGCUUUUGAAGUUUUCGGUUAAAUCCAUACGCUUAACGUAUGGGCUGCCCGGGAAUACU